AAUUUUCAGUUGCGAAUUUCAUUGCAAAAACUUUGCGACAGCUUAACAUAGUGACAAAACUUGCAUCUGUUUUAACUUGUUACAAUUUGCAACUGGAUUGAACUGUACGCGUGCGAAAAGUGAGUGUGGCUGUCCACACUUUCAAACUGACUCAUUAUUCAUCCCAUUCAGAUUCUUUGCAAAGAUGACCCGGUUCUCUUAUCUCUUUUAUUAGCCUCUCAUUCUCAAAUCAUUUUCUUCUCUUAUUUCUCUCUCGUUCUCCGUGUGGAAACGAUGGAAACCACACCAUCUAGAUCUGGCGAAACCCAUACUAAUUCAUCUCUAGUGAUCCUUCUCUUUUUUUUUUCCAGAGAUUAUUUCGAGAGGUUAAUACAAUACUAAUCUCAAUCUGCAAAACCUAAAACUCGUCCUUUAUCAAUGUUUUAAUUUCUAUUUUGAAUCUUGUAUGUUGCAGCUAAUUUACCUGCUUCAGCUUAUAAAUCCGGAGAAAAGCAUCAUGAAUCAGUUAUGUCUUUGUUCUCAAACCCUAAAAAAUGCGAUUUUUGCGGAAUUUUUUUAACACUAGAACCCUAGAAAUUUGUGUACAGAAAAGUGGAAUGAUGUAUGAGUGACGAUGAAGAUACUGAAGAAGAAGAAGAAUCUGAGGAGUUGUAAUCGUUUCAAUGAUUUUCCUCUUGAUUCUCCCAUCCAAGAUGAGUUUCUUUCGCUUGUCUUUAGAUCUUUUUUGGGUUUCAUUGGAUACAUCAUACAUGUUGAGAAAUCUGAUUAUGAUUUAAGAUAAAUUAAGGAUGCUGAGAUAUGGAUUUUAAAUAAGUUUUUCUUAUGGAGAUGUUAAUAGCAUACCGAUAUAGUAAGAAUCUAGCUAAAAGUUACUAAAACUUGAUUGUUUGGUUUGUACUAUAGAAAGAAAAUUUGUGAUUUGUAAUUUUCUAUCUUGGAAGCAUGAUAAGGCUGAUGCAGUUUUAAGUCUAAUUUGUUGAAUCUCAUCUGUCUUAUUGUCGAUAUACCACUUAACUCUCUGGGGUUCAUAAGUUACAAGGAAGUGGAGUUAUUAAAAUUUUGACCAAAAAUGUGUUCAACCCAAUGUUAUGGCAUCAUCGGUGUAAGAUAAUCUCAUAGUGUAGCCAAUUGUAACUUUCAUAUAAUCUGAAUUGAUGCAGUACAUGAAGUGUUAGUGUUAGUUAAAGUAUAAUCUGAAUUGUACCUUCAAUUCGAGGAAUUGACGCUCCUGCAAUUCUUACUUGUGUUGUCCCGAAUGCAAUUCGGUUUUGAUCCUACUAAAGGUGGAACACCCAAGGUCUUUUUCAAAGAUGAGGCUAAUCUUGAACAAGUGAUUGCUACUUGUUGUAAAUAUAGUUAGUAGAUGCUAGUUAUUGACAUUGAUGAAUGAUUAUUGUCAUGGGUUUUAGGUUGAUUGUACUAGACAGAAGAAUCAAAUAGAUUCUGGUAAGGCUCUUUCUUUUGUUUCUUAAGUUUAAUUUGCAUUGUUCCUUGAGGUUGUAUAACCAGUUUAACCCAUUAUGUUAAUAGUUUCAGUUCCAAUCUGAAGUAUUAACUGUUUUGUUGUGAAUCAAGAGAUGGAUGUACAAGUAAACCAAGUUGGUAAGAAAGUUCAGCUAGGGAACUAUGAAGACUACUUGCCCUGAAGACAGGUUUUUGAAUCGACUAUGAAUGCAGCUUAUGAGUCAAGGGUUUUGAGGGUUUUGGUGAUGAUUGUGUUGUGGUGGUGAUGAAACAGUGCACCAAGGUCCAAUAAUGAACAUGGAAAAAACUCACUGCUCACUCGUAUGUCUUAUGAAUUCUUAUGAUGGGGAGUUAGCUUUGACAGGAUGGGGUACUGCGAUGUUGUAGUAAUCUUGCCUUAACUGAAGCAUGCAUUUUGUCUUUGCAUAUUGCGAUACAGGUCACUUUGAUCUUGAUGGGGAAUCCAAACUUUUGAUUAUAAAUGUGCGUAAGUUACUCACCUUUUCUUGUUUUUACGUGCUUUAGGUCUGUCUGAAACUUUUGCUCUUCCAUUAUUAUGAUUAGGGGUGGUGCUAAUCUAUUACGCAGAAUAAACACUAUUCUUAUAGUUGCUCCCUUUUGAGGGCCAGAUUAAUUUCAUCAAAGGCCUCUCUGUCCAGGAUGGUGAAAAGUGUGUAGAUCAACUGCCAAGUGAUCAUCCUAACAGUUCUAGUGACAAAUCAGAGUUACAGAAACUCCCGGCGGGCAUUCUUAUCUUAGCUGCAUAAUUGGGUUUCCUUAAUUUUAUUUCAAAUUUCAUUUAAACUCUUGACAAGCACUCUUUACAUGAUGGUGUAUCAUGUGAUGCUGAUGAUUUUGCCUAUUAGCGAUGUCAAACUUCUUAGGUUGCAUCUUCGAACACCCAAUUGGCAACUAGAUGAUUGUUUUAUCUGCUUCUUGUUUCAGGAUGAUAGAAAGACACAUCCAAUAUAUCCUUAUCAAGAGGAACUACAUCGCAUCCCUUCUGAUAUCUUUACAAAAGAUGUUACUUUUCUGAGCAAGCAAAGACUACUCAUAUUAUUGAAUAUCUGGGAUAUUGUUCGUACAAUAAAAUUGCAUGCUUUCUUUUGGAGUCCA
Molecule: long non-coding RNA, 2580 nt
Organism: Papaver somniferum (opium poppy)
Lineage: Eukaryota; Viridiplantae; Streptophyta; Magnoliopsida; Ranunculales; Papaveraceae
Exons: 4
Source: RefSeq, a predicted model, not a curated record